UUUCCAAUACGAAAUAAGAGACAAUUGCAGGCUAAUCAACCGAAAACAUACAACAAUAAUAAUAGUGUCCAAAUUACAAGAAGUAUAAAUGUAUAAAUAUUAAUAUUUAAUCUCGAUCUUGAACUAAAUUACCGAUCAUGGUUGCCAAAGGGAGAAACGGGUAGGGGCCCACCCAUUGGGAUCACGCAACGUUCGUCUUCUUCGAUGCUCUUAACUUUUAUACCCAAAUGUUUCAACCGGCAUACCAUUCUUUCUUGGAUGUCUUCAAACUUUAACCCUGGGCGAGCCACGAGUGAAGUUUCUUCGAGAAAUAUUCUAGUCGACGAAAACGGCAUGGCGUAGAGGAAAGUUGGGAUCUUUGAGUUUCUUUCUUUUAUUUCGAGAUUGUUUUCGAGAUGUGAAUCUCUCCAAUCCAUGAACAACAUUUUAUCUACGUCGAAAGGGUGUUCCUCGACUUCGGCUAGGAUCCCGUAUGCCACUUGGUACCCGGGGUUAUACGGCUUGUCGUAUUGAACUAAAGAUCUUGAAAAACCCGUCGCGUCAAGAACCAAAGUCGCUUGGAUCGUGACACCAUCGUUGCAUAUCAACAACGAUUUCGAUUCUUCAUGAAUGACUUUGAUCACUUUUGCUUGAUGAAACUUAACCCCAUUUGCUAUACACUUUUGUAACAUCUUUGUUUUAAGUUGUUUCCUAUUAACCCUUGCAUAUGGUCUAUUAAGAUUCUUGGUUGACUUUUCAUCAAUGUAAACAACAGCACUUGACCAAGUGGUAUCCAAACAAUCUAAUAAAUCCAUAGCUUCAAACUCAUCAACCCAAACACCAUAAUUGUUGGGCCAAAUGAGUUUCGGGGAUGGGUCAAUCGAGCACACGGUUAGCCCAGCCUCGGACACCUGUUGAGCCACGGCUAAACCCGAAGGACCACCACCAACCACCACAAGAUCCACCACAAGCCCCCUUGAGGGAUCAUACAUAGGAAGCUCAAAAUCAAGAUUUUCUUUCUUGAUUUCAGGCACAAGCUCCAAAAGAGCACUACUACUAGCUUUAACACAAUCUUUAUUCCCUAAUUUGAAUUGGGAUUUCUUAGAGCCAAAUCUAAGGUCAUGAACUUGAGUCUUUGAUUGACUCACAUUUCCUGCAAAUCUGUUAAUUGGGUGCAGAAAUUCGAACGAGUUAUGAGUUCUUAACAAAGUAUCCAUGAUACCCAGAUGGAAUUUUAGUUAAAUUAAUGAUCUUUUUAACCAAUAACUGUUCAACACAUAUCAAGAAUCCAAGAAACCCCUCAAUUAACGAUAAAGUUAUGAACUUUAACUCGUUACCGACUCAAGAAACCUAAUUUCAGGCGAGAAUUGAGUGAAAAAUCAUAUAGAAUUGGGGGAAUUGAAAAGAAGAAAGAUUGAAGGACUUACCAGGAGUGAAGGGGUGAAAGAGUUCAUGGUUUUUUGAGAGAUUGGAUAAUGGAAAUUGGGAAAGAAUCAUGUGGUAU
RNAcentral lists this long non-coding RNA (1483 nucleotides) under Helianthus annuus (common sunflower). Its description in RNAcentral is "hypothetical non coding rna". The record is from RNAcentral. Lineage: Eukaryota; Viridiplantae; Streptophyta; Magnoliopsida; Asterales; Asteraceae.